Molecule: long non-coding RNA, 503 nt
Organism: Dreissena polymorpha
Lineage: Eukaryota; Metazoa; Mollusca; Bivalvia; Myida; Dreissenidae
Exons: 2
Source: RefSeq, a predicted model, not a curated record
AAACCUGCAAGGAACAUAUAAAGACUAGCAUUUCACAUUAUUUCUUUUAACAGCAAAAACUUUGAACAAUUUUGUUGGGGUUUAUCUUUACAGUGUAGGUCUAGCUUUUGUAGACCCAAAGUCGCUCACCUGAGAAAACAAGAUAUUAUUGGGACCAAUCUUCUGACAAAGUUUCACGAAGAUCGGAAAAUAAAUGUGGCCUCCAGAGUGUAAACAAGAUUUUACUACAGCCAUAUGAGUAUAAAUGCCACGCCCCUUGGAAGCCAUUUUUUUCAAGCAAACAAUUAUUUUCAAACUCAUCCAAGAUAUCAUUGAGACCAAUCUUCUUACCAAAUGUCAUGAAGAUUGGACAAUAAAUGUGGCCUCUAGAGUGUUAACAAGGUUUUACUAUAGCCAUAUAAGGAAAAAUGCCCCGCCCCUGGUGGUCAUGUUUUUUAAGCAACCAAAACCAUUUUCGAACUCAUCCAAGAUAUCAUUGGGACAAAUCUUCUGACCAAGUUUCA